GCGAGAGUGGCGGAAUUGGCAGACGCGCUGGAUUUAGGAUCCAGUACCCACGGGUGUGGGGGUUCGAGUCCCCCUUCUCGCA
This 82-nucleotide transfer RNA is filed under the name Deltaproteobacteria bacterium. RNAcentral describes it as "tRNA-Leu". It matches the Rfam family "tRNA". Rfam says of the family: Transfer RNA (tRNA) molecules are approximately 80 nucleotides in length. Their secondary structure includes four short double-helical elements and three loops (D, anti-codon, and T loops). Lineage: Bacteria; Pseudomonadati; Myxococcota; Myxococcia. The record is from RNAcentral.